This 237-nucleotide ribosomal RNA is filed under the name uncultured Staphylococcus sp. RNAcentral's name for it is "partial 16S ribosomal RNA". It matches the Rfam family "Bacterial small subunit ribosomal RNA", at positions 103 to 334 of the family's 1533-position model. Lineage: Bacteria; Bacillati; Bacillota; Bacilli; Caryophanales; Staphylococcaceae. The record is from RNAcentral.
CGGGUGAGUAACACGUGGAUAACCUACCUAUAAGACUGGGAUAACUUCGGGAAACCGGAGCUAAUACCGGAUAAUAUUUUGAACCGCAUGGUUCAAAAGUGAAAGACGGUCUUGCUGUCACUUAUAGAUGGAUCCGCGCUGCAUUAGCUAGUUGGUAAGGUAACGGCUUACCAAGGCAACGAUGCAUAGCCGACCUGAGAGGGUGAUAGGCCACACUGGAACUGAGACACGGUCCAG